UCCCCGUUCACCGGGGCAGUCCCCUCAGAGUGCCCGGCAUGACCCGGUAGCAACAAAGGGCAAGGGUUGCGCUCGUUGCGGGACUUAACCCAAUAUCUCACGACGCGAGCUGACGACAACCAUGCACCACCUGUGAACCGGCCCCAAAGGGGAAACCACAUUUCUGCGGCGGUCCGGUCCAUGUCAAGCCUUGGUAAGGUUCUUCGCGUUGCAUCGAAUUAAUCCGCAUGCUCCGCCGCUUGUGCGGGCCCCCGUCAAUUCUUUUGAGUUUUAGCCUUGCGGCCGUACUCCCCAGGCGGAACACUUAUCGCGUUGGCUUCGGCACAGACAGAUUCGACUCCGCCCACACCUAGUGUUCAUCGUUUACGGCGUGGACUAC
RNAcentral lists this unclassified non-coding RNA (379 nucleotides) under uncultured Actinomycetes bacterium. RNAcentral's name for it is "uncultured actinobacterium contains 16S-23S intergenic spacer region". Lineage: Bacteria; Bacillati; Actinomycetota; Actinomycetes. The record is from RNAcentral.